UGGGGAAUUUUGGACAAUGGGCGCAAGCCUGAUCCAGCCAUUCCGCGUGAGUGAAGAAGGCCUUCGGGUUGUAAAGCUCUUUCGCAAGGGAAGAAAACUUACUUUCUAAUAAAGAGUGAGGUUGACGGUACCUUGAUAAGAAGCACCGGCUAACUACGUGCCAGCAGCCGCGGUAAUACGUAGGGUGCGAGCGUUAAUCGGAAUUACUGGGCGUAAAGCGUGCGCAGGCGGCUUUGUAAGUCAGAUGUGAAAUCCCCGAGCUCAACUUGGGAACUGCGUUUGAAACUACAAGGCUAGAAUAUGUCAGAGGGGGGUAGAAUUCCACGUGUAGCAGUGAAAUGCGUAGAGAUGUGGAGGAAUACCAAUGGCGAAGGCAGCCCCCUGG
RNAcentral lists this ribosomal RNA (385 nucleotides) under uncultured bacterium. Its description in RNAcentral is "bacterial SSU rRNA". It matches the Rfam family "Bacterial small subunit ribosomal RNA", at positions 355 to 732 of the family's 1533-position model. The record is from RNAcentral.